Molecule: ribosomal RNA, 465 nt
Filed under: Vreelandella stevensii
Lineage: Bacteria; Pseudomonadati; Pseudomonadota; Gammaproteobacteria; Oceanospirillales; Halomonadaceae
Description: partial 16S ribosomal RNA
Rfam family: Bacterial small subunit ribosomal RNA
Source: RNAcentral
CCUACGGGUGGCAGCAGUGGGGAAUAUUGGACAAUGGGCGAAAGCCUGAUCCAGCCAUGCCGCGUGUGUGAAGAAGGCCUUCGGGUUGUAAAGCACUUUCAGUGGGGAAGAAAGCCUUGGGGCUAAUACCCUCGAGGAAGGACAUCACCCACAGAAGAAGCACCGGCUAACUCCGUGCCAGCAGCCGCGGUAAUACGGAGGGUGCGAGCGUUAAUCGGAAUUACUGGGCGUAAAGCGCGCGUAGGCGGUCUGAUAAGCCGGUUGUGGAAGCCCCGGGCUCAACCUGGGAACGGCAUCCGGAACUGUCAGGCUAGAGUGCAGGAGAGGAAGGUAGAAUUCCCGGUGUAGCGGUGAAAUGCGUAGAGAUCGGGAGGAAUACCAGUGGCGAAGGCGGCCUUCUGGACUGACACUGACGCUGAGGUGCGAAAGCGUGGGUAGCAAACAGGAUUAGAUACCCGGGUAGUC